GGUCAGAUGGCCGAGUGGUUAUGGCGCUAGCUUCAGGUGCUAGUGGAGCAAUCCUCGUGGGUUCGAGUCCCACUCUGAUCA
This 81-nucleotide transfer RNA is filed under the name Cladosporium sphaerospermum UM 843. RNAcentral describes it as "tRNA-Leu (CAG) (tRNA-Leu-CAG-1 1 to 3)". It matches the Rfam family "tRNA". From Rfam's summary of the family: Transfer RNA (tRNA) molecules are approximately 80 nucleotides in length. Their secondary structure includes four short double-helical elements and three loops (D, anti-codon, and T loops). Further hydrogen bonds mediate the characteristic L-shaped molecular structure. tRNAs have two regions of fundamental functional importance: the anti-codon, which is responsible for specific mRNA codon recognition, and the 3' end, to which the tRNAs corresponding amino acid is attached (by aminoacyl-tRNA synthetases). tRNAs cope with the degeneracy of the genetic code in two manners: having more than one tRNA (with a specific anti-codon) for a particular amino acid; and 'wobble' base-pairing, i.e. permitting non-standard base-pairing at the 3rd anti-codon position. The record is from RNAcentral. Lineage: Eukaryota; Fungi; Ascomycota; Dothideomycetes; Cladosporiales; Cladosporiaceae.